CUCCUGAGUACAGCCCUGCUGAUUUCAAAUCUCCUCUAUAAUCAGCCGCCCACAGGUCACUCCAUGACCUGUGGGCGGCUGGAGUCUGACAUGCACCCUCGUUUAUUUUCAUUAAGAUCUUUUUGUUGGAAAUUCACCUAAAAGCUUUUUUACUCAUUUUUCAUUUAAACCAGCAGCUGAAGUCUGGAUGGGUGAUGGAGGAGCUACACCUUCAGCCAAACCCCUCCAACCUCUUCACGGCACUGCAUUAUUACCUCCACUAAGCAGCAUUAGCGUGUUGCUCUGUGUGCAAACGUGACAGCUGGAAACGUUUGAAUGAACUCAUGUUUUUUUUUCUUUUUUUCUUUUUUGUGUGUGUCCCGUUUGGAUCUUUAGCCAUCAGAAUUGUUGUCUUAAGGCCAAGAAAGAUGCCAAGCGGAUUUAUUUUACCAAGUGGAUCAUCAUGGCCUUGCUAUAUUGGUCCAUUUGAUUGACCUUUAUUAUAAUUAUGUAUUUAUUUUAUUUUCGGUUGCUACAAACGUGACUGGGGGAUAGGACAGGGAGAAAGAAUGAAAGAAAGAGAGGGAGAGAAAGAAAAACAGAGGGGAGAAGAGACGGUGGGAAAGGGGGGAAGAAAGAAAGAAAAACAAACAAAACACCUGGAUCACCUGUAUGGAGAAAAAAAACAGAAGAGAAAGCAAACAAAAAAAGAGCAACAUAAUAAAAAACAGCACCAUCACAAUAAACUAGCUAGCAGUAGAUAACAGUAGAUGCUAAAUAAUAAACGAUAUUGUGCAGCACGCAAGAUAGACAGUGCACAAUGUGCUUUGAGGCAGCAGCCAAGAAAGCUGUAGUCCGCGUCUGUGAACACCCGUGUGUACACCUGUGUGAAUCAGCAUGCUUGUUUUCCAAAGGUUUCUCCAUGUAAUGAUCUGCUAGGGAGUGUGGGGAGCCAUAGCCCCGUCCCCCAGGGCAUGAAGCAGGUAUGGAGGAGAUCCAGGCCCCAGACAUCCAGAGGCCCCAGAGUACGAGGACCCGAGGAGGACCACCAAAAGGGGGGAACCAUGCCACCCUCCUGGGAAGAGCUGAGUAGAGCCCCAAACGAGAGGUCACCCAGCAGCUACGGAGCAGAGGCCAGAGGGGGUUGCAGUGGCAUGCCCGCGGGCUCUGCCGGCAGCCAGCUGUGCCAGAGAGGACCGAGCUUCAGGCCCAGAGGCCAGUGGCCUGAGGGCGCCCCACCCCCCGGAAGGGGCCCAGCCAGGCCACAGGCGCUAGGCCCUGCCAAUCGGCCACCAGGAGUGAGCCAGUACAUACAUGAGCGCCCAGCCCCAGUUGACAAGAACCACCAACACACCAACGUCUGAGGGCAUCAGCCACCGGCAGGGAGUGUGGUGAGGGGAGAUAGGCCUCCGUACUUAGGAGGGCCUGAGAUGUACCCAGAGAGGUUGAGUCAAAGACCCAACCUGACAUAUAGACACAGACAAAC
Molecule: long non-coding RNA, 1465 nt
Organism: Astatotilapia calliptera (eastern happy)
Lineage: Eukaryota; Metazoa; Chordata; Actinopteri; Cichliformes; Cichlidae
Source: Ensembl